Molecule: ribosomal RNA, 468 nt
Filed under: uncultured bacterium
Lineage: Bacteria
Description: partial 16S ribosomal RNA
Rfam family: Bacterial small subunit ribosomal RNA
Source: RNAcentral
GACGAACGCUGGCGGCGUGCUUAACACAUGCAAGUCGAACGGAAAGGCCCUGCUUUUGUGGGGUGCUCGAGUGGCGAACGGGUGAGUAACACGUGAGUAACCUGCCCUUGACCUUGGGAUAACUUCAGGAAACUGGGGCUAAUACCGGAUAGGAGCUCCUGCUGCAUGGUGGGGGUUGGAAAGUUUCGGCGGUUGGGGAUGGACUCGCGGCUUAUCAGCUUGUUGGUGGGGUAGUGGCUUACCAAGGCUUUGACGGGUAGCCGGCCUGGGAGGGUGACCGGCCACAUUGGGACUGAGAUACGGCCCAGACUCCUACGGGAGGCAGCAGUGGGGAAUAUUGCACAAUGGGCGGAAGCCUGAUGCAGCAACGCCGCGUGCGGGAUGACGGCCUUCGGGUUGUAAACCGCUUUCGCCUGUGACGAAGCGUGAGUGACGGUAAUGGGUAAAGAAGCACCGGCCAACUACGUG